GAUGAACGCUGGCGGCGUGCCUAACACAUGCAAGUCGAGCGAGAUAAAUGUGAGUGGAGACUUCGGUCAAAGCGAUCAUUUUGAAAGCGGCGGACGGGUGAGUAACGCGUGAGCAAUCUGCCCCAUACAAAGGGAUACCCACUGGAAACGGUGAUUAAUACCUUAUAAGACCACGAAGUCGCCUGGCUUAGUGGCCAAAGAUUUAUCGGUAUGGGAUGAGCUCGCGUCUGAUUAGCUAGUUGGUGAGGUAAUGGCUCACCAAGGCGACGAUCAGUAGCCGACCUGAGAGGGUGAACGGCCACACUGGAACUGAGACACGGUCCAGACUCCUACGGGAGGCAGCAGUGGGGAAUAUUGCACAAUGGGCGCAAGCCUGAUGCAGCAACGCCGCGUGAAUGAUGAAGGCCUUCGGGUCGUAAAGUUCUGUCCUAAGGGAAGAAUACAGUGACGGUACCUUAGGAGGAAGCCCCGGCUAACUACGUGCCAGCCGCCGCGGUAA
Molecule: ribosomal RNA, 499 nt
Filed under: uncultured bacterium
Lineage: Bacteria
Description: partial 16S ribosomal RNA
Rfam family: Bacterial small subunit ribosomal RNA
Source: RNAcentral